This 925-nucleotide ribosomal RNA is filed under the name Fusarium solani. RNAcentral describes it as "partial large subunit ribosomal RNA". It matches the Rfam family "Eukaryotic large subunit ribosomal RNA", at positions 23 to 978 of the family's 3401-position model. The record is from RNAcentral. Lineage: Eukaryota; Fungi; Ascomycota; Sordariomycetes; Hypocreales; Nectriaceae.
ACCCGCUGAACUUAAGCAUAUCAAUAAGCGGAGGAAAAGAAACCAACAGGGAUUGCCCCAGUAACGGCGAGUGAAGCGGCAACAGCUCAAAUUUGAAAUCUGGCUCUCGGGCCCGAGUUGUAAUUUGUAGAGGAUGCUUUUGGUGAGGUGCCUUCCGAGUUCCCUGGAACGGGACGCCAUAGAGGGUGAGAGCCCCGUCUGGUUGGACGCCGAACCUCUAUAAAGCUCCUUCGACGAGUCGAGUAGUUUGGGAAUGCUGCUCUAAAUGGGAGGUAUAUGUCUUCUAAAGCUAAAUACCGGCCAGAGACCGAUAGCGCACAAGUAGAGUGAUCGAAAGAUGAAAAGAACUUUGAAAAGAGAGUUAAACAGUACGUGAAAUUGUUGAAAGGGAAGCGCUUGUGACCAGACUUGGGCUUGGUUGAUCAUCCGGGGUUCUCCCCGGUGCACUCUUCCGGCCCAGGCCAGCAUCAGUUCGCCCUGGGGGACAAAGGCUUCGGGAACGUGGCUCUCUCCGGGGAGUGUUAUAGCCCGUUGCGUAAUACCCUGUGGCGGACUGAGGUUCGCGCAUUCGCAAGGAUGCUGGCGUAAUGGUCAUCAGUGACCCGUCUUGAAACACGGACCAAGGAGUCGUCUUCGUAUGCGAGUGUUCGGGUGUCAAACCCCUACGCGAAAUGAAAGUGAACGCAGGUGAGAGCUUCGGCGCAUCAUCGACCGAUCCUGAUGUUAUCGGAUGGAUUUGAGUAAGAGCAUACGGGGCCGGACCCGAAAGAAGGUGAACUAUGCCUGUGUAGGGUGAAGCCAGAGGAAACUCUGGUGGAGGCUCGCAGCGGUUCUGACGUGCAAAUCGAUCGUCAAACAUGGGCAUGGGGGCGAAAGACUAAUCGAACCUUCUAGUAGCUGGUUUCCGCCGAAGUUUCCCUCAGGA